This 1306-nucleotide ribosomal RNA is filed under the name uncultured bacterium. RNAcentral describes it as "bacterial SSU rRNA". It matches the Rfam family "Bacterial small subunit ribosomal RNA", at positions 28 to 1381 of the family's 1533-position model. The record is from RNAcentral.
AACGUACGCUGGCGGCACGCCUAACACAUGCAAGUCGAACGAAGUAGCAAUACUUAGUGGCAGACGGGUGAGUAACAUGUAGGUAUCUGCCCUUUGGCCUGGAAUAACACGAGGAAACUUGUGCUAAUACCGGAUAAGUCUUUACGGAGAAAGCUUUAUGCACCAUUGGAUGAGCCUGCACUUGAUUAGUUUGUUGGUGGGGUAAUGGCCUACCAAGACUGUGAUCAAUAGCUGAUUUGAGAGGAUGAUCAGCCACAUUGGGACUGAGACACGGCCCAAACUCCUACGGGAGGCAGCAGUGGGGAAUCUUGCAUAAUGGAGGAAACUCUGAUGCAGCGAUGCCGCGUGAGUGAAGAAGGCCCUUGGGUUGUAAAGCUCUUUCGUCGGGGAAGAAAAUGACUGUACCCGAAUAAGAAGGUCCGGCUAACUUCGUGCCAGCAGCCGCGGUAAUACGAAGGGACCUAGCGUAGUUCGGAAUUACUGGGCUUAAAGAGUUCGUAGGUGGUUGAAAAAGUUAGUGGUGAAAUCCCAGAGCUUAACUCUGGAACUGCCAUUAAAACUUUUCAGCUAGAGUAUGAUAGAGGAAAGCAGAAUUUCUAGUGUAGAGGUGAAAUUCGUAGAUAUUAGAAAGAAUACCAAUUGCGAAGGCAGCUUUCUGGAUCAUUACUGACACUGAGGAACGAAAGCAUGGGUAGCGAAGAGGAUUAGAUACCCUCGUAGUCCAUGCCGUAAACGAUGUGUGUUAGACGUUGGAAAUUUAUUUUCAGUGUCGCAGGGAAACCGAUAAACACACCGCCUGGGGAGUACGACCGCAAGGUUAAAACUCAAAUGAAUUGACGGGGACCCGCACAAGUAGUGGAGCAUGUGGUUUAAUUCGAAGAUACGCGCAGAACCUUACCAACACUUGACAUGUUCGUCGCGACUCUAAGAGAUUAGAGUUUUCGGUUCGGCCGGACGAAACACAGGUGCUGCAUGGCUGUCGUCAGCUCGUGUCGUGAGAUGUUGGGUUAAGUCCCGCAACGAGCGCAACCCUCACUUUUAGUUGCCAUCAUUAAGUUGGGCACUCUGAAAGAACUGCCAGUGAUAAGCUGGAGGAAGGUGGGGAUGACGUCAAGUCCUCAUGGCCCUUACGUGUUGGGCUACACACGUGCUACAAUGGUAUCUACAACAGGAAGCAAGACUGCGAAGUUAAGCAAAUCCCUAAAAGAUACCUCAGUUCGGAUUGCACUCUGCAACUCGAGUGCAUGAAGCUGGAAUUACUAGUAAUCGUGGAUCAGCGUGCCACGGUGAAUGCGUUCCCGGGUCU